CAGUAGCCGCGGUAAUACGUAGGGUGCAAGCGUUAACCGGAAUUACUGGGCGUAAAGCGCACGCAGGCGGUCUGACAAGUCAGAUGUGAAAUCCCCGGGCUUAACCUGGGAACUGCAUUUGAAACUGUCAGGCUGGAGUCUUGUAGAGGGGGGUGGAAUUCCAGGUGUAGCGGUGAAAUGCGUAGAGAUCUGGAGGAAUACCGGUGGCGAAGGCGGCCCCCUGGACAAAGACUGACGCUCAGGUGCGAAAGCGUGGGGAGCAAACAGGAUUAGAUACCCGCGUAGUCCCUGUCUCUUAUAA
This 301-nucleotide ribosomal RNA is filed under the name uncultured bacterium. Its description in RNAcentral is "partial 16S ribosomal RNA". It matches the Rfam family "Bacterial small subunit ribosomal RNA", at positions 509 to 809 of the family's 1533-position model. The record is from RNAcentral.